Molecule: ribosomal RNA, 620 nt
Filed under: uncultured Verrucomicrobiota bacterium
Lineage: Bacteria; Pseudomonadati; Verrucomicrobiota
Description: bacterial SSU rRNA
Rfam family: Bacterial small subunit ribosomal RNA
Source: RNAcentral
UAGCAAUACCGAGAGUAAUUUAGCGGCGAACGGGUGCGUAACACGUGGGCAAUCUGCCAUAAAGUGGGGGAUAGCUCGGCGAAAGCCGAAUUAAUACCGCAUGUGAUCAGAGGUGACAUCACCUCGAAAUCAAAGGUGCCGCAAGGUACCGCUUUUUGUGGAGCCCGCGGCCUAUCAGCUUGUUGGUGAGGUAACGGCUCACCAAGGCUUUGACGGGUAGCUGGUCUGAGAGGACGACCAGCCACACUGGGACUGAGACACGGCCCAGACACCUACGGGUGGCAGCAGUCGAGAAUUUUUGACAAUGGGGGAAACCCUGAUCGAGCGACGCCGCGUGGAGGAUGAAGGUCUUCGGGUUGUAAACUCCUGUCAUUUGGGAACAAUGGUUACACGUUUACUGCGUGUGACUUGAUAGUACCAGAAGAGGAAGAGACGGCUAACUCUGUGCCAGCAGCCGCGGUAAUACAGAGGUCUCAAGCGUUGUUCGGAUUCAUUGGGCGUAAAGGGUGUGUAGGUGGCGCGCUAAGUCGGGUGUGAAAUUUCGGAGCUUAACUCCGAAACUGCAUUCGAUACUGGCGUGCUUGAGGACUGGAGAGGAGACUGGAAUUCUCGGUGUAGCA